UAGAGUUUGAUCCUGGCUCAGGAUGAACGCUGGCGGCGUGCCUAAUACAUGCAAGUCGAACGCUUUGUGGUUCAACUGAUUUGAAGAGCUUGCUCAGAUAUGACGAUGGACAUUGCAAAGAGUGGCGAACGGGUGAGUAACACGUGGGAAACCUACCUCUUAGCAGGGGAUAACAUUUGGAAACAGAUGCUAAUACCGUAUAACAAUGACAACCGCAUGGUUGUUAUUUAAAAGAUGGUUCUGCUAUCACUAAGAGAUGGUCCCGCGGUGCAUUAGCUAGUUGGUAAGGUAAUGGCUUACCAAGGCGAUGAUGCAUAGCCGAGUUGAGAGACUGAUCGGCCACAAUGGGACUGAGACACGGCCCAUACUCCUACGGGAGGCAGCAGUAGGGAAUCUUCCACAAUGGGCGAAAGCCUGAUGGAGCAACGCCGCGUGUGUGAUGAAGGGUUUCGGCUCGUAAAACACUGUUGUAAGAGAAGAAUGACAUUGAGAGUAACUGUUCAAUGUGUGACGGUAUCUUACCAGAAAGGAACGGCUAAAUACGUGCCAGCAGCCGCGGUAAUACGUAUGUUCCAAGCGUUAUCCGGAUUUAUUGGGCGUAAAGCGAGCGCAGACGGUUAUUUAAGUCUGAAGUGAAAGCCCUCAGCUCAACUGAGGAAUUGCUUUGGAAACUGGAUGACUUGAGUGCAGUAGAGGAAAGUGGAACUCCAUGUGUAGCGGUGAAAUGCGUAGAUAUAUGGAAGAACGCCAGUGGCGAAGGCGGCUUUCUGGACUGUAACUGACGUUGAGGCUCGAAAGUGUGGGUAGCAAACAGGAUUAGAUACCCUGGUAGUCCACACCGUAAACGAUGAGUGCUAGGUGUUUGAGGGUUUCCGCCCUUAAGUGCCGCAGCUAACGCAUUAAGCACUCCGCCUGGGGAGUACGACCGCAAGGUUG
Molecule: ribosomal RNA, 936 nt
Filed under: uncultured bacterium
Lineage: Bacteria
Description: bacterial SSU rRNA
Rfam family: Bacterial small subunit ribosomal RNA
Source: RNAcentral